UUGUUCGGAAUUACUGGGCGUAAAGGGUGUGUAGGCGGUUAAGUAAGAUAGUGGUGAAAUGCCGGGGCUCAACCUCGGAAUUGCCAUUAUGACUAUUUAGCUAGAAUGAUGCAGAGGAUAGCGGAAUACCCAGUGUAGAGGUGAAAUUCGUAGAUAUUGGGUAGAACACCAGAGGCGAAGGCGGCUAUCUGGGCAUUGAUUGACGCUGAGGCACGAAAGCAUGGGGAUCAAACAGGAUUAGAUACCCUGGUAGUCCAUGCUGUAAACGAUGAAUGCUAGUUGUUGGAGGAAUUCAGUGACGCAGUUAACACAAUAAGCAUUCCGCCUGGGGAGUACGGUCGCAAGAUUAAAACUCAA
RNAcentral lists this ribosomal RNA (357 nucleotides) under uncultured bacterium. RNAcentral's name for it is "bacterial SSU rRNA". It matches the Rfam family "Bacterial small subunit ribosomal RNA", at positions 541 to 904 of the family's 1533-position model. The record is from RNAcentral.